RNAcentral lists this ribosomal RNA (467 nucleotides) under uncultured bacterium. Its description in RNAcentral is "bacterial SSU rRNA". It matches the Rfam family "Bacterial small subunit ribosomal RNA", at positions 28 to 490 of the family's 1533-position model. The record is from RNAcentral.
GAUGAACGCUAGCGGCAGGCCUAACACAUGCAAGUCGAACGGUAACAUGAGUAGCAAUACUUGAUGACGAGUGGCGCACGGGUGCGUAACGCGUAUGCAACUUACCUCUAACUGGAGAAUAGCCUUCCGAAAGGAAGAAUAAUACUCCAUAAUAUUACGAUGUGGCAUCACAUUGUUCUUAAAGCUUCGGCGGUUAGAGAUGGGCAUGCGUCUGAUUAGCUUGUUGGUGAGGUAACGGCUCACCAAGGCGAUGACGGGUAGCCGGACUGAGAGGUUGGCCGGCCACAUGGGAACUGAGACACUGUCCUGACUCCUACGGGAGGCUGCAGUCGAGAAUCUUCUGCAAUGGGCGAAAGCCUGAUCCAGCCAUGCCGCGUGAUAGAUGAAGGCCCUCUGGGUUGUAAAUAUCUUUUAUCUGGGAAGAAACUCCUCUAUUCUUAGAGGCCUGACGGUACCAGAGGAAUAAG